GUGAAAUCGCCUACCAAAUUACUGAGUACAGUGGGGAUUCAAACCUUGGAAAAUGUUCAAAGACCAACCAGGUUUUGAGGAAGAAUACAAAAUGACACCACCACUGAAGAUGAACUUUGGUAGAGGACAAAGCUAGUGGCUCGGACUCUCCUUUGCCAAACUUCAAUGAAAUGGACAAUUCAUAAAAGCCCCAGAAGUAAGGGAGAGAUAAAAACAAAAGAGAGGGAAGAAAGUUAAAUACUGUUUAGUAUGUCCUCUAUCAAUGGAAACCUGCCAAGAGUCUUGACCUCCUCUGUAUACCUGCUAUUAAAAGCAAUG
This is a long non-coding RNA of Indicator indicator, 318 nucleotides long. RefSeq lists it as uncharacterized. The record is from RefSeq and is a predicted model, not a curated record. The transcript is spliced from 4 exons. Lineage: Eukaryota; Metazoa; Chordata; Aves; Piciformes; Indicatoridae.